GUGUCAGCCGCCGCGGUAAUACGUAGGGUGCGAGCGUUAAUCGGAAUUACUGGGCGUAAAGCGUGCGCAGGCGGUUGUGCAAGCCAGGUGUGAAAUCCCCGGGCUUAACCUGGGAACUGCACUUGUGACUGCACGGCUAGAGUACGGUAGAGGGAGAUGGAAUUCCGCGUGUAGCAGUGAAAUGCGUAGAUAUGCGGAGGAACACCGAUGGCGAAGGCAAUCCCCUGGACCUGUACUGACGCUCAUGCACGAAAGCGUGGGGAGCAAACAGGAUUAGAAACCCGUGUAGUCC
This 292-nucleotide ribosomal RNA is filed under the name uncultured Aquabacterium sp. RNAcentral describes it as "partial 16S ribosomal RNA". It matches the Rfam family "Bacterial small subunit ribosomal RNA", at positions 505 to 796 of the family's 1533-position model. The record is from RNAcentral. Lineage: Bacteria; Pseudomonadati; Pseudomonadota; Betaproteobacteria; Burkholderiales; Sphaerotilaceae.